Molecule: long non-coding RNA, 1024 nt
Filed under: Oryzias javanicus (javanese ricefish)
Lineage: Eukaryota; Metazoa; Chordata; Actinopteri; Beloniformes; Adrianichthyidae
Description: lncRNA (ENSOJAG00000003060.1)
Source: RNAcentral
AGAUAGUUGUAUGCCCUGUAUACGCUGGUUUAGUGUAAGGCAACAAACACUGUCGACGGAUGAUGACGUCAUAGAUGCAUGUACUGCGCAUGUGCGAGCCGGUAAACUAAGGAAAUAAAGCAUGGCGACUGCGACUGAGACUCGGGUGGAUUAUUAGUGUUAAUAUGAAAGAGAAACACUACAAUGGCGACGAGGAUGGGUGUAGCUUGUGCUGAACACCAAGACAAAGUUUCAAGACGGAAAUAAAGAUCCCGAAAGAAAGAUAAAAGUACUGGACUUUAAGGAGUGCAUCAGAAAGUCAUCAUUUCACCAGAAAAGAGGUGUACGUAGGUGAGUUUUGUAGUGUAUGCUAUCGUAAUAUAUUCAUCCUGAAUUCGUUUUUUAUAUGGUAUGAAAAUCGAGAAGGCGUAAAGAAACCAGUCGGUCAAAGCCAAGCUCAUGGGCACAACCUAUGCUCCUCAUCCCCAGGAAAUUUUCGGCGCCAUAAGAUGGCCAGCCCUACUUAUGGAAUCACAGUGGUUGGAACUGCCGAAAACCAACGAAUCGGUGCUCGCUGCUGAUGCACGCGCUCAGCCGCCAGAGGGUCCACCGCCCACCGAGGCGGCCGCUCUGCUUCCAGCGGACGAGAGGGUCUGCUGCUGCGACGGCAGUUUCCAGAUGGUCCAGACCUCUCAGACACUGUUGUGGCUCUCCUAUCAGCCGUCUUGGGUGAUACUCCUGAUGCUGCCAUCUUCUGCCCUGAGAGCAUCUUUAUCAUCGUGGAGAAUGAAACACUCGUCAGUUGUCCCACAAAUCUGGCUGACUCUCUUACUUUUUGGGUAUGUCUAUGCUCUGGACCUACAGUACCCCCAAAAAAUGGAGCUUGCAAUGACAUUUAUUCAGAAAGUGGUGAUGUGCCUUGAGGACAACAAACCACUGAAAGGGACCCAUGUGUAUAUAUAUAUAUAUAUAUAUAUAUAUAUAAUAUACAAUCUUGUGUUUUAUUUCAAACAAGCACUUUAUUUUGACUGAGCUCUUAAAAUGU